Molecule: ribosomal RNA, 198 nt
Filed under: uncultured Tumebacillus sp.
Lineage: Bacteria; Bacillati; Bacillota; Bacilli; Caryophanales; Alicyclobacillaceae
Description: partial 16S ribosomal RNA
Rfam family: Bacterial small subunit ribosomal RNA
Source: RNAcentral
ACUCCUACGGGAGGCAGCAGUGGGGAAUCUUCCGCAAUGGGCGCAAGCCUGACGGAGCGACGCCGCGUGAGUGAUGAAGGCCUUCGGGUUGUAAAACUCUGUUCUUGAGGAUGAAGAGCCUGUGGAGUGGAAAGCCACAGGAGUGACGGUACUCAAGGAGAAAGCUCCGGCUAACUACGUGCCAGCAGCCGCGGUAAU